RNAcentral lists this ribosomal RNA (492 nucleotides) under uncultured bacterium. RNAcentral's name for it is "partial 16S ribosomal RNA". It matches the Rfam family "Bacterial small subunit ribosomal RNA", at positions 28 to 507 of the family's 1533-position model. The record is from RNAcentral.
GAUGAACGCUAGCUACAGGCUUAACACAUGCAAGUCGAGGGGAAACGACAUCGAAAGCUUGCUUUUGAUGGGCGUCGACCGGCGCUCGGGUGAGUAACGCGUAUCCAACCUGCCCAUCACUUGGGAAUAACCUUGCGAAAGUAAGACUAAUACCCAAUGAUAUCCCACGAAGGCAUCGGAAUGGGAUUAAAGAUUUAUCGGUGAUGGAUGGGGAUGCGUCUGAUUAGCUUGUUGGCGGGGUAACGGCCCACCAAGGCAACGAUCAGUAGGGGUUCUGAGAGGAAGGUCCCCCACAUUGGAACUGAGACACGGUCCAAACUCCUACGGGAGGCAGCAGUGAGGAAUAUUGGUCAAUGGGCGAGAGCCUGAACCAGCCAAGUAGCGUGCAGGAAGACGGCCCUAUGGGUUGUAAACUGCUUUUAUAAGGGAAUAAAGUGGGUCACGUGUGACUUUUUGCAUGUACCUUAUGAAUAAGGACCGGCUAAUUCCGUG